AUGGUAACGUCUCUGCCACCAGUCGGUGAGUGUAACUUGCUGACGGUCCCUAAAACAGGUAGCAGCCAGAACGUAAAUGACGUUGUUUCACAGACAUCGAUGGCGCCAACAUGUGUUUGUGAUUUUUCGCGAUACGGUGUCCUAAACCGUCCUCAACAUACUAAGCCCGUAAUUAUGGAAGGGGAGAUUUGGAGGUACCUGGUCAGGUCUUGGUCAGCCUUCAAAUCCCAGAUGUGGAGACUGCAGGGAUACCUCACAGAGAAGACACUAAAGAGUCAUCUCUCAUUCAUCGAGUGGACUCAUUGGUUUGCGAAUGACCACAAAGAUGCUCCCAUAGGCAGAUUGCUGCAUGGCAUUCACCGCUUAUUCAAAUUGAAGAGGUUGAAGCAGUCUUCCUUGUGGUCACUUGCCAUAACAAUGUCAUGUGUUUUAUGAAAACAGCAUCAGUAACAUUUAAAUUGAGUUGAUGUGGACGGCUCUUUUUUUUGUCCGAUUUCUUCAGUGUUCAGUGCCCGUUUGUGAGAUAUGCAUUGUUUGAAAGAUAAGCCUUUGAUUUUGUUUAAUUUUAAUAUGCCUUUUAAUAUUUUAAUAACAGUGGUUUGGGGUUUUAUAACAACAAUUAAAGUGCUUAACUACUGGUGAACGAUGUUGCAGAACAUAUAUGGUUUGUGUUGAUUGCAUGGAAAAGGGAAUAACCAGUUACAACUUAUAUGGUAAGAGCCUGGUAAUACCAUGGAAACAAACUAGGCUUCCUUUUACAGUACAGUUUCAGCUUACUUACUGGGUAAAUUGUCGUGUUUUACUAGGUAACGUCGCAGAACGUACAUGGUACAAGUUUGUGUUGACUGCAUGGAAAAGGGAAUAAUGUAUUACAAAUUAUAUGGUAAGAACCUGGUAAUACCAUGGAAAUAAACGAGGCUUCCUUUUACAGUAAUGUUUCAGCUUAAUUACUGGGUAAAUUGUCGUGUUUUACUUGGUAACGUCGCAGAACGUACAUGGUACAUGUUUGUGUUGACUGCAUGGAUAAUGGAAUCUAUUAUAAAUUAUAUGGUAAGAACCUGGUAAUACCAUGGAAACAAACGGCUUUGUACCCAGUAUUUAAGAAGAUGUACCAUGACACUAGAGGAAAACUGUUCCUGCAGAGGUUGUUACCAGGUAAGUAAUUCCAUAGUGGUAAAUCGAAUAAACCCUUUCUAAAUGGAUGUAGCUAUGAAUAAUAACUAAGAAAAAGUAUUUUAUUGGAAAGCACUAUGCUAAUUCCUAGAUACAUCAUUAAAUUUGGGCUGUUACCAACAUAAACCUUGGAUAAUAGGUGUUUAUAAGAAUUGGUUGCCUAAUUUCCUAGGAAGUACACAAUAUCUGAGUUAUUACCAACCUAAAACAGUUACAACUACACGCUACUUAGUUGAGUUGAUGGGUAAUAGUGGAGGUUUUACUUAGUACUUCAGCAUUAAUUCCUCUGUAUUUACCUUCUUAUUACCAGUGGUAAUUACACAGUAAUACACUAUAAUUUACCGGAUAAUUCCUCUGUAUUUACCUUCUUAUUACCAGUGGUAAUUACCCAGUAAUACACUAUGAUUUACCAUGUAUUUACCGGGUAACUACCUCUGUAUUUACCUUCUUAUUACCAGUGGCAAUUACCCAGUAAUACACUAUGAUUUUAUGUUUUUUUUUUAUUUUUACAUGGUACAAGUUUGUGUUGACUGCAUGGAAAAGGGAAUAAUGUAUUACAAAUUAUAUGGUAAGAGCCUGGUAAUACCAUGGAAACAAACUAGGCUUCCUUUUACAGUACAGUUUCAGCUUACUUACUGGGGUAAAUUGUCGUGUUUUACUAGGUAACGUCGCAGAACGUACAUGGUACAAGUUUGUGUUGACUGCAUGGAAAAGGGAAUAAUGUAUUAUAAAUUAUAUGGUAAGAACCUGGUAAUACCAUGGAAACAAACGGCUUUGUACCCAGUAUUUAAGAAGAUGUACCAUGACACUAGGGGAAAACUGUUCCUGCAGAGGUUGUUACCAGGUAAGUAAUUCCAUAGUGGUAAAUCGAAUAAACCCUUUCUAAAUGGAUGUAGCUAUGAAUAAUAACUAAGAAAAAGUAUUUUAUUGGAAAGCACUAUGCUAAUUCCUAGAUACAUAAUUAAAUUUGGGCUGUUACCAACAUAAACCUUGGAUAAUAGGUGUUUAUAAGAAUUGGUUGCCUAAUUUCCUAGGAAGUACACAAUAUCUGAGUUAUUACCAACCUAAAACAGUUACAACUACACGCUACUUAGUUGAGUUGAUGGGUAAUAGUGGAGGUUUUACUUAGUACUUCAGCAUUAAUUCCUCUGUAUUUACCUUCUUAUUACCAGUGGUAAUUACACAGUAAUACACUAUAAUUUACCGGAUAAUUCCUCUGUAUUUACCUUCUUAUUACCAGUGGUAAUUACCCAGUAAUACACUAUGAUUUACCAUGUAUUUACUGGGUAACUACCUCUGUAUUUACCUUCUUAUUACCAGUGGCAAUUACCCAGUAAUACACUAUGAUUUACCAUGUAUGUACCGGGUAAAUACCUAGUAAUUAGGGGACUGUAAAAGGAAGGGUUACCUGCUUAUUUUGUCCUUUCUGUGUGUGUGUGUGUGUGUGUGUGUGUGUGUGUGUGUAUGGGGGGGUGGGUAUUUCCCUCUACCCUCUCCUUCAAUAGAUGAGGAAAUGUAUAUGGAUUUAAGAAAUCACACUAUGUACUAACAUUUUAUUACAGUGGACGUUGGCAUACUGACUUUAAUAUUA
Molecule: long non-coding RNA, 2764 nt
Organism: Gadus morhua (Atlantic cod)
Lineage: Eukaryota; Metazoa; Chordata; Actinopteri; Gadiformes; Gadidae
Source: Ensembl